GCCUGAAUAUGCCUGGGGUGGGCAUGUGAGCAGCUGAACGCAGUUGAAAUCGCCUCUUCAGACAAGCACAAUUUGCACCUGAAGAGGAAGAGAUAGUUAAAGCCACAGCAGUGGUGCAUGUAACAGGCUCCUUAAACUCUCUGUGCUGAGAUCAACCAGUCACAGAGCAAAUUCAAGAGAAAAGAAACAUUUGCUGUUUCUCUACUCAUCUGCUGAUAUAAAGGCUGCAGAAUCUGGCUUUAACAUUGCAGCAAAGCCAAGGAGAGACUCACCUCUGCAAAAUCAGAAGGUCCAGCUGAUUUCACCAGGCUCCAUAUGGGCAGCCACUGAGCCACAUACCUUCAGUCCUGGAAGGAUUCUCUCCCAGACAUGCAGAAAAAGCAGAGUAAACGAAGAAGCAAGAGAUCAUCGUUUCUGGAGGAGAAACAGCAUGAAACCAAUCUGGCUGCAACAUGAAGAUCUCUGGGGACCUGUGCUUUCAUUGCUUUGCAGACAUUGACACUGGCACAAUUUCGCAAAACAUCUAAGGUUCCUGGUGUGCAGAGUAGAUUUCUUUCACUGCUGUAGAGAACAAGGGGUGUGCCCACUGCUAACGCAAGAAUUUGCUGAAGAGUUGUAGAGCUUUUCCUCUGUAAACUCUUCACUCAACCUGUCAACCCUUUCCUGAAGGUUUCCUUUGGCAAUGCAUUUAAAAACCGCUUGGAUCUCAAGAGCUUCAAAUGUAGAGGAUGUAAACUAUGGUCCAGAAGUCUGAAACAGAACAAGAUGCUGCAUUAUCCAGUGACCUGGAAUAACAGCAAAAUGGGCUCAGAAAAGCUUGCAGGGGUCAGGCAGUCCAUGGCCUGCCUUGCAGAAAGCUCAGAUCUACCCAGGAUAUAACUGACAAGUGCUGGUCUGCCUUGUUCUUAAAAAAAUCUCCCGUGGAGAGAUUCUGCUACCUCGUGAAGCAUACUGUUCUGGUAAGUACUUGUCCACAGCUGCCUGUUGAUUUGUAACAGCUCUGAGAAGAUGGACAAGUCUCAACCUAGAAUCCCCUACUUGGCUAUUCUGCUGCUGUUAAAAAAUACGGUUUUGGUCUGCACCAGAAUAUUCAUUUUUGAAGGUCUAUAACAUGGGGAAGACUGGAGCUCUUCACGUUUCAAGCACAUUCUCCAACUUUGGCAGCAAAAUGAGGAGGGUCCCUCAGUGAUCCUGAGCUCAAAAACAAGGCAAACUUAUGGAAACUGAAAUUUCAGCAAACACCAGCCAAGCUCAGACUUCUAGGCUAGUUAGGCAGCUGGCUGCACAGCAAGGAGUCUGUCAGCCCUAUGAAAUACAUUUCUAAGCACUACUAUGGGCAGCAUCGGCAGGGAGGUGGAAGGGCAGACAAAUUUCCCUUGAAAGGUUAAAUUAAACCCACGUGUCCCUGAUAAAUAUGCAAAUUACUGAAUUGGCACAUUCCUAUAGGGAAAGAAAGAGUCCAGUCAAUGAUUGCUAACCGUCCUUUCAGAACCUUCCCUCCUUCCACAAUGUUAUUAUCAAAUAUGCU
This is a long non-coding RNA of Anser brachyrhynchus (Pink-footed goose), 1528 nucleotides long. Lineage: Eukaryota; Metazoa; Chordata; Aves; Anseriformes; Anatidae. The record is from Ensembl.